Molecule: non-coding RNA, 321 nt
Organism: Microcebus murinus (gray mouse lemur)
Lineage: Eukaryota; Metazoa; Chordata; Mammalia; Primates; Cheirogaleidae
Source: RefSeq, a predicted model, not a curated record
GAGACUUCUGCUCUUAGCCAAGAUGGAAUAAUAAAAACCAAAUUUAUCCUCCCAUCUGGAAGAACUAAAACAGCAGACAAAAUACAGGAAAUGAUGAUUCAACAGACCAUGGACAUCAGGAAGUUGAAGGACAGUGUUCCCUGAGAGAUGAGAAUCAAGUGAGUUCUCAGCUCACUCAGCACUUCCAAGCUUCCCAAGAAGUUCUGGGAUGGGUAUGGGACUGAAAUUUGCCAAAUGACAUACAGAGAGAAAACCAUGUGACAGACACAGGGAGAAGACACCAUCUACAAACUGAGAAGCCUCUGGAGAAACCGGCCCUGC